UAUGCUGUUUAUCCAUUUCUGUCCAGUAUACCACAGCUUUUUAUCGCAGCCAUUAAUCUCUGUGGCAGUGGGAGAACAUUUUCAAGUGCUUAUUGAAAAUGUCAGUAUAUUUCACUCCGCUGAAUUUCUUGUGUGCAGGAUGGCAAGGAACACAAAACAGGCCUUCAAAUCUCUACCUAAGAAUGCUUAACAGCAUUUGAUUGUGAACCACAUACUGUUGACCAUUGGAUUCAGCUCAUUUUGAUCAAGAGCUCAGGAGAGCUUUACUUUUUUGAACUGUUUAUUCACCCAUAUCAGAACCCAAGGAUGAAGGGUGCAAAAUCUAUUGAAGCCAGGCCUUUUUGCAUGUGUAGCUCUCUUGCUUUGCACACAAGUUUAUUUGAUCCAGCUUAGCUUCAUGGAAACAUAUUAGUCUGCUAUGAAUGAAACUAAUGUGUGAUUUUUUUACAUAUUCCUACAUUCAGUCCCAGGUGCCCACUUUAAAGCUUGCAUGGGGCUGUAGUUUCAGAUUUAGAUAUACAGAUUUCAUGCUUACUGGGCAUGAAAAUAAAUGAUUUAAAUACUACUACGAUCUUCCUUUA
This 581-nucleotide long non-coding RNA is filed under the name Pogona vitticeps (central bearded dragon). Its description in RNAcentral is "lncRNA (ENSPVIG00000007728.1)". Lineage: Eukaryota; Metazoa; Chordata; Lepidosauria; Squamata; Agamidae. The record is from RNAcentral.